UCCCGCCUCUUCCUCUCGGCGCCUGCCUCUCCCUCCACCAGCAGAGCCCAAGACCAACAACUAGGCCGAGAAUAUCCGCACCUCCCGCUCAGUCCGCCCGCCGACCCUGCCCGCCCGGAGCACCGCUUCACGCCGACCCCUUCCAGCGGCACCCCGCACCCGCUCAACCUCACCUGGACAGGGAGGCCCCAUCUCGCUCUCCCUGUCUGGAGCUGGUUUUAAAUCGCGCGCCGAGACGCUUUAACGGCGUAACGGCCGCGGUGACGUUUACCGUGGGCGGGGCCAGAAGCGGGCCUGCGCAGGCCGCCGCAUCCUCCGCCGGUAAAGGGGGUGUGCCGGGCUGUGCACUAGUGUGCUGCUUGAAUGGCUGGUUUCCUGCUCGGUUCCUGUGAGCGCACUGUAGAGGGUCCAUGGACUCCCUGAAAUAGCAUGAAAACUCCCUCUUUUCGAGCUUAGACGCGGAACUGGGCACUAGCCCACUAGCUGGGCUCCAGCGCAGAGCAGGACGGGCGAAGACACUGCUUUCACGCAAUUCACUUUCUAACGAUGGGGGCAGAUUACUAGGAAACAAGGUUAAUUUCUCAUAGUGACCUGUAUUAUGAGGGCAGCAAAACACUAAGGAGGUAGAAAGCGAUGGAUGGGGUAUGGGACAGAGGUGAGAAGGAGCCAACAACACAAUGGACGGAUCGGGCAGGCGAAGGACAGGUUGUCAGUUCCAUGAGGAUGAAGCCAUUGUUUUCCCAGGGCUCGGUGCUAGCCCCGGACACAGCAAGUGCUUGAAUAUGUAUUGAAUGUGUGAAGUGGGAAGACAAGCUUAAAUCCUCGGUUGGGCAUGUGAACCUCUCUGGGCCUCAUUUUCUUCUGUUUAUAAAACAUUGAAGAUAAUACCCCUUCACUGGACUGCUUGGGGCUCCCUGUGCUGGGAGGGAGAGCCAGCUCCACCCCCUGGAGGGUCAUUCACCUCCAGAUCUGAAUGCCGUCUUUGUUUCUCGAGGGGUAUUUAGGAUAAAAUGAUGCGCUGUCAGCUUGGAUGUGAAUUAAACUAACAGUUCAACCAGGAAACCAGGUUGCAAGGAAUGUUGCUGGGAGUCAUUCACAAAAAGGAAUAAGCUGCGACGGAGGUAUUCUCUGG
This is a long non-coding RNA of Acinonyx jubatus (cheetah), 1132 nucleotides long. RefSeq lists it as uncharacterized. The record is from RefSeq and is a predicted model, not a curated record. The transcript has 3 exons. NCBI's taxonomy places the organism in Eukaryota, Metazoa, Chordata, Mammalia, Carnivora, Felidae.